UACGAAGGGGGCUAGCGUUGCUCGGAAUUACUGGGCGUAAAGGGCUCGUAGGCGGCCAACUCAGUCGGACGUGAAAUCCCUCGGCUUAACCGGGGAACUGCGUCCGAUACUGGAUGGCUUGAGUGUGGGAGAGGGAUGCGGAAUUCCAGGUGUAGCGGUGAAAUGCGUAGAUAUCUGGAGGAACACCGGUGGCGAAGGCGGCAUCCUGGACUACUACUGACGCUGAGGAGCGAAAGCCAGGGGAGCAAACGGG
Molecule: ribosomal RNA, 253 nt
Filed under: uncultured bacterium
Lineage: Bacteria
Description: partial 16S ribosomal RNA
Rfam family: Bacterial small subunit ribosomal RNA
Source: RNAcentral